GACACUUUGCAUACCAUGUCAAACCCUGAACUCCACCAUCGCCGGAACUAGAGGGAAGAAGAAUAGGGCCGGGGUUGGAGCGAUUGACGGCAACCUGGACUGGGACGCUGAAGCCUCUCCGAGGAAGACCAGUGCCCUGCAUAUGGACGCGAUCGGGAGCAUGAUUGUCGGAAUCAACGUCGUCAUCUUCGUUCUUGACGUCGUGAGAAUCGUCCUUGGAAAACCCUAGAAUUCCUGCAAUUUUCCUGAAGAACCGCAUCUCCGCACUGCAACGAUCGAAUUGAUCGAAUCACAGAGAGAGAUGGAGAUCUUGAGAAAGAAGGAAAGCAGAAUUUGAUUGAUUGUCCCGUUUCUGA
Molecule: unclassified non-coding RNA, 356 nt
Filed under: Hevea brasiliensis (rubber tree)
Lineage: Eukaryota; Viridiplantae; Streptophyta; Magnoliopsida; Malpighiales; Euphorbiaceae
Source: RNAcentral